GACGAACGCUGGCGGCGUGCUUAACACAUGCAAGUCGAACGAAGAGCGAUGGAAGCUUGCUUCUAUCAAUCUUAGUGGCGAACGGGUGAGUAACGCGUAAUCAACCUGCCCUUCAGAGGGGGACAACAGUUGGAAACGACUGCUAAUACCGCAUACGAUCUAAUCUCGGCAUCGAGGAUAGAUGAAAGGUGGCCUCUACAUGUAAGCUAUCACUGAAGGAGGGGAUUGCGUCUGAUUAGCUAGUUGGAGGGGUAACGGCCCACCAAGGCGAUGAUCAGUAGCCGGUCUGAGAGGAUGAACGGCCACAUUGGGACUGAGACACGGCCCAGACUCCUACGGGAGGCAGCGGUGGGGAAUCUUCCGCAAUGGACGAAAGUCUGACGGAGCAACGCCGCGUGAGUGAUGACGGCCUUCGGGUUGUAAAGCUCUGUUAAUCGGGACGAAAGGCCUUCUUGCGAAUAGUGAGAAGGAUUGACGGUACCGGAAUAGAAAGCCACGGCUAACUACGUG
RNAcentral lists this ribosomal RNA (510 nucleotides) under uncultured bacterium. RNAcentral's name for it is "partial 16S ribosomal RNA". It matches the Rfam family "Bacterial small subunit ribosomal RNA", at positions 28 to 507 of the family's 1533-position model. The record is from RNAcentral.